Long non-coding RNA from Medicago truncatula (barrel medic), 510 nucleotides. RefSeq lists it as uncharacterized. NCBI's taxonomy places the organism in Eukaryota, Viridiplantae, Streptophyta, Magnoliopsida, Fabales, Fabaceae. The transcript has 2 exons. The record is from RefSeq and is a predicted model, not a curated record.
AUAUUUCUCAAUAGUUCUCUCUCUCUCUCUCUCUUAUAUCAAUGGCCACCAAUUCUUUGAAGUUUACUUUGGUGACUAUUUUCAUCUUUGCUAUGACUCUUUCUCCCACUUUACCAUGUGAUGCUGUACGUGUUUCAUUAGCAGUUAGUAGGCCCGUAUGUCCUGCUUGUGUGUGUUGCAGUCCACCACCCCUAGGCUCUUGCUGCAAGUGUUGUGCUUCUCCAAUUCAAACUCAGACCAUAGGUCAAUCUCCAUAGUAGGGAAAGCACAUUCCUUAUUAUAUAGCACCAUAUAUAUAGGUCUUAAUUAAAUCUACUAUAAUUUACUUUUUGUUGAAUAAGAAGAGCCUUGUAAGUUCUGAUGUAAUUUCAUCUAUGUGUAAGAAUAAUUAUCAUAAUCUUACUAUAGAGCAAUUGCCACUUAUCAUCAAGGGCUUAAGAUGGUAUAAGAGAUUGGAUCUUAAAAGUUAUAAAUUGUUGAAUGAGGCGUUUGCAAAUGCAUUUGGAUUGA